CUCAGUCAUGUCCGAGUCUUUGUGACCCCACAGGCUGCAGCACGCCAGGCUCCUCUGUCCAUCACCAACUCCCGGCAUUUAAUCAAACUCAGGUCCAUUGAGUCGGUGAUGCCAUCCAACCUUCUCAUCCUCUUUCGUCCCCUUCUUCUCCCGCCUUUAAUCUUUCCCAGCAUCAGGAUCUUUUCUAAUGAGUCAGCUCUUAAAGGCCAAAGUAUUGAAACUUCACCUUCAACAUCAGUCCUUCCAAUGAACACUCAGGACUGAUCUCCUUUAGGAUGGACUGGUUGUCCUUGCAGUCCAAGGGACUCUCAAGAGUCUUCUCCAGCACCUCAGUUCAAAAGCAUUAAUUCUUCGGUGCUCAGCUUUCUUUAUGGUCCAACUCUCACAUCCAUACAUGACCACUGGAAAAACCAUAGCUUUGACUAGACAAAUCUUUGUUGGCAAAGUAAUGUCUCUGCUUUUUAAUAUGCUGUCUAGGUUGGUCAUAGCUUUUCUUCCAAGGAGCAAGCGUCUUUUAAUUUCAUGGCUGCUGAGGGUGGGCAUCCUCAAAGCUCCAGGAUGCUCCUGGGUGGAGCUUCAAGGAAGUUGGAAGUUCCUCCUGUUUAUUAUUCAUUUACAUUUAAUCCCCCACCCCCCACUGCUGCUCUCAGUACUUAAGCCCCUUUACAAACAAGAUCAAGAUAAAAAGGAAAGAAGAGAAACCAAGUAAAGCCAAAAAGAGUGAUAGGAAAAAAAAAAAAAAAACAGGAAGCCAUAGGUAGGGCUGGUGCACAAAUUAUUGCCCUGAGAUGCCCUUUUUUGGUGUGGUGAUCCCCAGUCUACUUGGCACCAGGGACCAGUUUCCUUGAAGACAACUUUUCCACCGACCUGGGAUGGAGGGGAUGGUUUCGGGAUGAGUCAAGUGCGUUACAUUUUUUGUGCACUUUAUUUCUAUCACAUUAGCUCCACCUCAGAACAUGAGGCAUCAGAUCCUGGGGGCUGAGGACCCCUGUUUUAGUGCAUGGCUGUAAGUUUGGCUCCCAGCUUCCUGGCAGCCGAGGCAAGGAUGGAGAUGAGAUGCCCGUGUUGCAGAAACAAACCGUCACUCCAGAGCAGCCUGACUUCUCACUACAGAGAGGAGACAGCGUCCCCAGGGGAGCCUCAGAAAGGAUGCUGCGGAUGUCCUGGCACCCCCAUAGCGUGUCCCACGUGGCUCCCCAGAAAACAGCUCUCAGUGGAAACGAGGGGCAAGCAGCCUAGGCAUGCUUCAAGAAACGCUAUUUGUUAGCAGGUGGGAUUCGGACUGGCCCAGGAGGGCAGGGGAGCUCUGCAGUGGUGCCCAGGCCUGGCAGAACAUCCUGGAAGCUCAUUCAGGAGCGAGAGCGUGUGAUACUGAAAUUGAUGAGAACCAGCCUCACGGAUUCAUGAGCAUGUCUUCCCUGCGCACGUCCUUGCCUCCAUGACACAUUAAACCGCAGGGAAAGAGCUCCAGGAACCUUUAUUCAGUGCACGGGCUGGGUCAGCCUAUCUAACUAGUGGCCCACAACCCAGCAGGGCGAGAAGGUUUCAGAAGAGGUGGGAGGCCCAAGAGGACUGAAGGCCAUCAGAACCAUGUCAGCGAGGGCCCCAACACUCUGCUUCGGGGCCCUCUAACAAAACAUAGCCCAGGGGACCAAGAGCUGGACAGCCGGACAGGCCUGAGUCCCCAGGCUCUGGGCAGCCUCUGCCCUUUGACCUCAGCUUUGUCUACGGCUCUGGAUGAGGUCAUGACUCAUGUCACUUUGGGGACCUGAAGGCCAUCCCGGCCACACCUCGGCCUGCAUGGUUCUCACGUCCAUCCCUGACUCAGUCAUGAAGGCAGCAGAGGUGGGGGCUACCGGCAGUCCAGCUCUGAUCACCUCCUGUUGGGCUCAGCAUUUCCCAGCCAGAUGACUGUCCCAGAUGGCAGGAAGGUACGCCUCAGAGACUGAGCUGAAAGAAGCUGCCCAGUGACUGACCCUUCACAGGCUUGCACACUCCGCUUGCACACCCCUGGUGAUGGGGAGCUCACUACCCAUCAUGGCACUCUUUUCUGUUGUUAGAAUGUUCUUUCUCUGAUUGAGCUAAGUGCUGCUCCUGCAACUCCCACCGGUGGGCUCUGCUGGACCCCAGGAGGCUGGGGAGAAAAUGCUGGUUCCUCACCUCCAGAAGAAGACUGCAAACACCAGAGGCUGGACCUCACGUUCUUUCUUCUCUUCUUAGUUCCUGUGUGACCCUGGGCCUGAGUUUUCUCUCUUUCUGGAGAAUGAGAAGGAAACCCUCCUGGGGUUCCUAAGGACCAGCAGAGGCAGGAGGCAGAAGGCAGAGCUGUAAGAUGGUCCCCAACAUUCCUGCCCCCGGCGCACACAUCCUUCACACUCUCCUUUAACAUGGGUGGGCCUGGCCUAAUCAGGUGAGCUCUUAAAGGCCCUGGGCCCUUCCUGAAGUCAGACACACAAGUGUAGAGAGACUGGAAGUGUGAGGGACCCAUGGAGGGGGUCACAAGGCAAGGGUCUGGGGUGACCUCUAGGAGCCAAGUGGUCCCCGGCCAACAGCCUGCAAGAUAGUGAGGAUCUCAGUCCUACCCACAAGGAGAGGAAUUCUACCAGCAACCGAAGGGCCUGAAGAUGUUCCCCCUGCUGAGCCUGCAGCCGGGGGCGUGGGCCGCUGAGUGAGGACCAGCUGAAGCGUGCUGGGGUCUUGACCCACAGAGACCAGGAGACGAAGAGGGAACCGAGAGGGUCAGGAACUGUCCAAGGCCACAGCGCAAGCGAGGGAGCUAUAAAGUUGCGAUGGGAACCCAGGCAACGUGCCUCUUCUACAAAAGCUGGUUCAGAACCCGCAGACACUGAGGACUGGACUCAUUUCCUCCAUGUGGGAGCCAUGAAAAGAGUGACCAGUCGCCAUCUGAUGGUCUUGAGGGAAGAGCCUGCCUUGGAAUGGAGCCGCUCGAGGAGAGGAAGUGAGCAGAGGAGAGAAAGCAAGCUGGUCUUGAGCCUGGAUCGUGCCAUGCCUGAAGCUGUUGUUUCUCAGCUGUCAGAUGAUUGAGCCAGUAGAUCCUCUGUAAUGCUGAAGUCAGCUUGACUGAGUUUCCUGUGUUACCUGCAGCUCAGAUUGCUGUUCAGGGGCUCUGCCCAGCCAACCCUGACAAUAAACAAGAACUCAGCCACUUGGUGGGGUUAUGCCACGGAACGGACUGCCUGCCAUGUGCUGGAAGCUGUCUAUUUUACAUCCCCACGAUGAGGUUCCCUUUGCGUGGGCGAGGAUCUGAGACCGAUAGAUCACCGAGCCUUACCCAAGGCUAGGAUUUGAACUUGGGUCUGUCUGACUCCACAGCCUGUGUGGGUUCUCUGCCCCUGGGCAGUCCCUCCCGGGGCACCGCCUGUGAGCUGGAGCCCAGAGCCUGGCCACAGUGGACAUCUGGGGAGGCUCUCCCGUGUGGACCCGCAUCCUGCCAGCCAGCCUGGCAAGUCCACGGGCACUCCUUGGACCGCGCAUGUCAGGGAGUGUUGGCUGGCUGGGGGCAUCCCUGCAGGGGGUGGGAGGGAGCAUAGUGUUGGCGUGAGCCGGCUCCAGGGUGCAGGCGGCUCCUAGCUCAAGUUGUAGGUUCUGCCGCAUCCUUAGCUCACCCCUCCCUCCCCAAACCCGAAUGUCAGUCCCCAUCCCACCCAGUGACUGAGUGGACGCGUAUCCUGCGGCCCCUUCCCAGGACCCCUCACCGCAGGGACUUCCUCUUCCACCCUUCCUUGGGGCCCCCACGCCACAUCCUGGAUCUCAUAUCACCAGAAACUGCUCACCUCUGAAAUCUCAGUUUCUAACCAUCCCCCUUGGUUUUAUUUAUUUUUUUUAGCUGUGGGAUCUUAGUUCCCUGAUCAGAGGUUGAAUCCAUGCCCCCCUGCAGGGGAAGCUUAGAGACUUAACCACUGGACUGACAGGGAAUUUCCCCUAACCUUGGUUUGAAAAAAUAUAUAACAACUUUGUUGGGAUGUGAUUCAUAUGCCAUACAGUUCACCCUUUUGUGGAGUGAAGUUCAGUGGUUUUUUAGCAUUUUCACUAUGUACAGCCAUCACUAGACAGCUUAUUAAAAAGCAGAGACAUCACUUUGC
Molecule: long non-coding RNA, 4103 nt
Organism: Bos taurus (domestic cattle)
Lineage: Eukaryota; Metazoa; Chordata; Mammalia; Artiodactyla; Bovidae
Source: Ensembl